AGGUUGAGUUUGAAGAACAAGAAAAACAGUAGAGGUCUACCCGGUACCUAUGGUUAAACAUGAUGAUCAUAAGUGCAUGUAUCAUUUUGCAGAUUCUCAUCCAGGAUGAUGCAGCUCUACAAUUUCCAUGGAGGUGAUUGAUGAUGAUAAACAAUUGGUGAAGUAGGCCUAAUAGAACAGUGAUAGGACCACAAAGAGAAAUACAACCUACAGCAGUUAUAUGAGACUGGUGUAACAGAUGUUUUCAUUCAAGAAAUCCAACAAAUUGAAGAGUGACUUAGCUUAGGAAGCACUUGAUAAAGAUGGAAAAGGUUUUUUUUUUCAAGUCCAAUUUUUUUUUUUUUAAUUAUCAUCACAACCCCAAAUUCAUGAAGUAUGAAAUUUUCUGUUGAUUUUCAUUAAAACUGGUUGCAAAAGGAAAAGCUAUAAACAUACAAAUAGGAGCGGCGAAGUGAAGUUGAAAGUGGGGGGGGGCACAGGGAAAAUGCUGUUUUAUGUGAAAUUUUAAAGAAGUUGCGAGAGAGCAAAAUUUUGACAUUUUUAAAAAGAAAAUCCAAUUUUGUGAUAGAUUUCGACAAAAUAUUCAGAAUGAUAUAUUUCACCCUUUUUUUUGGGGGGGGGGGGCAAGAGUCCUUCAAGCCCCCCCCCCCCCUCCAUCUGUAGUGUACGAAACUGCUUAUCUACCCCCACUCACAUGAAUUAUUAAACUUAAUGCACAAAGGAUUUCCUUAUUGUUCUUGUUUCAAAGGGCACUCGUCAUGGUGACCAUAAAACGGGUCCUUCUCAGGUGAAAGGGGCACAGAACAAAUUCUUUAGGAGCACUUUUCUUGGGUAAAAGGGGGCAGUUAUUCGAGAAAGGGCACUUACAAGAAGGCGAGGGGGCACUUUUUAACACUUAAAACGGGCCCCCAGAUGAAAGGGCACAGAACACGUUCAGGGGGGCAUUUUUUGGUAAAAAUUUGCAUACAAGGAAGAGCACUUGGUAACACCUAAAACAGGUUCGCGUCAGGUGAAAGGGACACAGUACACGUUCGUGAGGGUCAUUUUUCUUACAUAAAAUUAAAGGCACUUUUCAGUGCUUCAAAAAGUAGGGGGAACUGUGCCCCCCAGGAUCGCUGCCCCUGCAUACAAAAAACAUUUUUGUUUGAUUCAAAGUAUUAACAUACGCUUAAGAAAAAAAGUAAGGCUAAAUCCUCUGAUAAUGUGAUAUUUUUUCUGGCUAUUAAUAAAAUUCACAACUAACCAG
Long non-coding RNA from Lytechinus pictus (painted urchin), 1246 nucleotides. RefSeq lists it as uncharacterized. The record is from RefSeq and is a predicted model, not a curated record. Lineage: Eukaryota; Metazoa; Echinodermata; Echinoidea; Temnopleuroida; Toxopneustidae. The transcript is spliced from 3 exons.